ACGGAGGGUGCAAGCGUUAUCCGGAAUUAUUGGGCGUAAAGGGUGCGUAGGUGGUUAUGUUAGUCGUUUGUUAAAUCUUCGGGCUUAACCCGAAACCGGCGAGCGAAACGGCAUAACUUGAGAAUGUGAGGGGUGUACAGAACUCAUGGUGUAGGGGUGAAAUCCGUUGAUAUCAUGGGGAAUACCAAAAGCGAAGGCAGUACACUGGCACAUAUCUGACACUCAAGCACGAAAGCGUGGGUAGCGAAUGGGA
Molecule: ribosomal RNA, 253 nt
Filed under: uncultured prokaryote
Description: partial 16S ribosomal RNA
Rfam family: Bacterial small subunit ribosomal RNA
Source: RNAcentral